RNAcentral lists this ribosomal RNA (392 nucleotides) under uncultured Gammaproteobacteria bacterium. RNAcentral describes it as "bacterial SSU rRNA". It matches the Rfam family "Bacterial small subunit ribosomal RNA", at positions 370 to 779 of the family's 1533-position model. Lineage: Bacteria; Pseudomonadati; Pseudomonadota; Gammaproteobacteria. The record is from RNAcentral.
AAUGGGGGCAACCCUGAUCCAGCCAUGCCGCGUGAGUGAAGAAGGCCCUAGGGUCGUAAAACUCUUUCGCCUGUGAUGAUAAUGACAGUAGCAGGUAAAGAAACCCCGGCUAACUCCGUGCCAGCAGCCGCGGUAAUACGGAGGGGGUUAGCGUUGUUCGGAAUUACUGGGCGUGAAGCGCACGUAGGCGGAUUAGAAAGUUAGAGGUGAAAUCCCGGGGCUCAACCCCGGAACUGCCUUUAAAACUACUAGUCUUGAGUUCGAGAGAGGUGAGUGGAAUUCCGAGUGUAGAGGUGAAAUUCGUAGAUAUUCGGAGGAACACCAGUGGCGAAGGCGGCUCACUGGCUCGAUACUGACGCUGAGGUGCGAAAGCGUGGGGAGCAAACAGGAUU